CCCACCUAUAUUCCUCUCAUCCUUCCUCCAUUAAGGUAUGUUACUUACCUCUCCUUUCUUUUUUCUUAUGUAUUAUGUGGUAGUUUAUGUUAGUUUCAUGUUAUAAUGGGUUGUAAUUGUUAGUAGAAUUGUGUUAGUGUUUCUUGUUUUUCUUUUUGAAUUUCAUUUUUGUACAUGAUUGGUGAAGGGGCUGUGUGUUGAAUAUGGUGGUGAGAUGUAUGUUGGUAGGUGUUGAAUGAAGUAGUAUGGGGUGUGAUGAUAUAGUAAUAAAUUUGAUUUGGGAGGAAUUUUGAUGUACUCAUGAGGGUUAUAGGUGUUAGGAUCAUGUCUUGUCUAUAAGGUGAUUGGGAAAUUGCCCUAAUGAAGUUAUAAGGACUAAUGUAAUAUGGUUUUGGUGAAGUCUGAGUAACCAUCCAUAGUCACACAUUUCACACACCCACUAAAAGGUGUUUCUCUAUUUGACAGGUACAAUGAGUUCUUCUAGAAAGAGACGUACCACCGGGCCCUCCAUUAGUGGACCAGGAAGCUCCUUGAGAGGUAAGGGGCAAGCCCAGGCACCACAAUUUGAUACUACGCGGUUUGUCUCCCAAAUGGCAGAGACCAGGUACACUGCAAAGAAACUUCUCC
This 627-nucleotide long non-coding RNA is filed under the name Nicotiana benthamiana. RNAcentral's name for it is "long non-coding RNA (NBEN_LNC033373)". The record is from RNAcentral. Lineage: Eukaryota; Viridiplantae; Streptophyta; Magnoliopsida; Solanales; Solanaceae.